This 460-nucleotide ribosomal RNA is filed under the name uncultured bacterium. Its description in RNAcentral is "partial 16S ribosomal RNA". It matches the Rfam family "Bacterial small subunit ribosomal RNA", at positions 338 to 795 of the family's 1533-position model. The record is from RNAcentral.
CCUACGGGAGGCAGCAGUGAGGAAUAUUGGUCAAUGGACGAGAGUCUGAACCAGCCAAGUAGCGUGAAGGAUGACUGCCCUAUGGGUUGUAAACUUCUUUUAUAUGGGAAUAAAACGUUCCACGUGUGGGAUUUUGUAUGUACCAUAUGAAUAAGGAUCGGCUAACUCCGUGCCAGCAGCCGCGGUAAUACGGAGGAUCCGAGCGUUAUCCGGAUUUAUUGGGUUUAAAGGGAGCGUAGGUGGAUUGUUAAGUCAGUUGUGAAAGUUUGCGGCUCAACCGUAAAAUUGCAGUUGAAACUGGCAGUCUUGAGUACAGUAGAGGUGGGCGGAAUUCGUGGUGUAGCGGUGAAAUGCUUAGAUAUAACGAAGAACUCCGAUUGCGAAGGCAGUUCACUGGACUGCAACUGACACUGAGGCUCGAAAGUGUGGGUAUCAAACAGGAUUAGAUACCCUUGUAGUC